GUGCUCACUUGGGCAGCACAUAUACUAAAAUUGGAACGAUACAGAAAGAUUAGCAUGGCCCCUUCACGAGGGUGACAGGUGAAUUCAUGAAACGUUCCGUAUUUGG
Suncus etruscus (white-toothed pygmy shrew) is the source of this 106-nucleotide small nuclear RNA. The record is from RefSeq and is a predicted model, not a curated record. Lineage: Eukaryota; Metazoa; Chordata; Mammalia; Eulipotyphla; Soricidae.